This 253-nucleotide ribosomal RNA is filed under the name uncultured bacterium. RNAcentral's name for it is "partial 16S ribosomal RNA". It matches the Rfam family "Bacterial small subunit ribosomal RNA", at positions 524 to 776 of the family's 1533-position model. The record is from RNAcentral.
GACGGAGGAGGCAAGCGUUAUCCGGAAUUAUUGGGCGUAAAGCGUCCGCAGGUGGCUUCUCAAGUCUGCUGUCAAAGCCCAGGGCUCAACCCUGGAUAGGCAGUGGAAACUGGGUCGCUAGAGUACGGUAGGGGUAGAGGGAAUUCCCGGUGUAGCGGUGAAAUGCGUAGAUAUCGGGAAGAACACCAGUGGCGAAGGCGCUCUACUGGACCGUAACUGACACUCAUGGACGAAAGCUAGGGGAGCGAAAGGG